RNAcentral lists this ribosomal RNA (253 nucleotides) under uncultured bacterium. RNAcentral describes it as "partial 16S ribosomal RNA". It matches the Rfam family "Bacterial small subunit ribosomal RNA", at positions 524 to 776 of the family's 1533-position model. The record is from RNAcentral.
UGCGUAGGGUGCGAGCGUUAAUCGGAAUUACUGGGCGUAAAGCGUGCGCAGGCGGUUUCUUAAGCCAGAUGUGAAAUCCCCGGGCUUAACCUGGGAAUGGCAUUUGGAACUGGGAGACUAGAGUGCGUCAGAGGGGGGUGGAAUUCCACGUGUAGCAGUGAAAUGCGUAGAGAUGUGGAGGAACACCGAUGGCGAAGGCAGCCCCCUGGGAUGACACUGACGCUCAUGCACGAAAGCGUGGGGAGCAAACAGG